RNAcentral lists this ribosomal RNA (1408 nucleotides) under Salmonella enterica subsp. enterica serovar Rubislaw. Its description in RNAcentral is "bacterial SSU rRNA". It matches the Rfam family "Bacterial small subunit ribosomal RNA". The record is from RNAcentral. RNAcentral also lists the same sequence under 6 other names. Lineage: Bacteria; Pseudomonadati; Pseudomonadota; Gammaproteobacteria; Enterobacterales; Enterobacteriaceae.
GUAAUGUCUGGGAAACUGCCUGAUGGAGGGGGAUAACUACUGGAAACGGUGGCUAAUACCGCAUAACGUCGCAAGACCAAAGAGGGGGACCUUCGGGCCUCUUGCCAUCAGAUGUGCCCAGAUGGGAUUAGCUUGUUGGUGAGGUAACGGCUCACCAAGGCGACGAUCCCUAGCUGGUCUGAGAGGAUGACCAGCCACACUGGAACUGAGACACGGUCCAGACUCCUACGGGAGGCAGCAGUGGGGAAUAUUGCACAAUGGGCGCAAGCCUGAUGCAGCCAUGCCGCGUGUAUGAAGAAGGCCUUCGGGUUGUAAAGUACUUUCAGCGGGGAGGAAGGUGUUGUGGUUAAUAACCGCAGCAAUUGACGUUACCCGCAGAAGAAGCACCGGCUAACUCCGUGCCAGCAGCCGCGGUAAUACGGAGGGUGCAAGCGUUAAUCGGAAUUACUGGGCGUAAAGCGCACGCAGGCGGUCUGUCAAGUCGGAUGUGAAAUCCCCGGGCUCAACCUGGGAACUGCAUUCGAAACUGGCAGGCUUGAGUCUUGUAGAGGGGGGUAGAAUUCCAGGUGUAGCGGUGAAAUGCGUAGAGAUCUGGAGGAAUACCGGUGGCGAAGGCGGCCCCCUGGACAAAGACUGACGCUCAGGUGCGAAAGCGUGGGGAGCAAACAGGAUUAGAUACCCUGGUAGUCCACGCCGUAAACGAUGUCUACUUGGAGGUUGUGCCCUUGAGGCGUGGCUUCCGGAGCUAACGCGUUAAGUAGACCGCCUGGGGAGUACGGCCGCAAGGUUAAAACUCAAAUGAAUUGACGGGGGCCCGCACAAGCGGUGGAGCAUGUGGUUUAAUUCGAUGCAACGCGAAGAACCUUACCUGGUCUUGACAUCCACAGAACUUUCCAGAGAUGGAUUGGUGCCUUCGGGAACUGUGAGACAGGUGCUGCAUGGCUGUCGUCAGCUCGUGUUGUGAAAUGUUGGGUUAAGUCCCGCAACGAGCGCAACCCUUAUCCUUUGUUGCCAGCGGUCCGGCCGGGAACUCAAAGGAGACUGCCAGUGAUAAACUGGAGGAAGGUGGGGAUGACGUCAAGUCAUCAUGGCCCUUACGACCAGGGCUACACACGUGCUACAAUGGCGCAUACAAAGAGAAGCGACCUCGCGAGAGCAAGCGGACCUCAUAAAGUGCGUCGUAGUCCGGAUUGGAGUCUGCAACUCGACUCCAUGAAGUCGGAAUCGCUAGUAAUCGUGGAUCAGAAUGCCACGGUGAAUACGUUCCCGGGCCUUGUACACACCGCCCGUCACACCAUGGGAGUGGGUUGCAAAAGAAGUAGGUAGCUUAACCUUCGGGAGGGCGCUUACCACUUUGUGAUUCAUGACUGGGGUGAAGUCGUAACAAGGUAACCGUAGGGGAACCUGC